GUAGUAUGUGUGUGUGUAUUUGUGUGUGUGUAUGUGUGUGAGCACAUGCAUACACACACACAUACACUCAUAUGCAUAUGCAUC
Molecule: microRNA precursor, 84 nt
Filed under: Mus caroli (Ryukyu mouse)
Lineage: Eukaryota; Metazoa; Chordata; Mammalia; Rodentia; Muridae
Description: miRNA (MGP_CAROLIEiJ_G0008041.1)
Source: RNAcentral